GACGAACGCUGGCGGCGUGCCUAACACAUGCAAGUCGAACGGAACUACUUUGAAGGAUUCCUUCGGGAUGACGGAUUUUUAGUUUAGUGGCGGACGGGUGAGUAACGCGUGAGUAACCUGCCUUUGAGAGGGGGAUAACGUUCUGAAAAGAACGCUAAUACCGCAUGACACAGAGAAACCGCAUGGUAAUUCUGUCAAAGAUUUUAUCGCUCGAAGAUGGACUCGCGUCCGAUUAGUUAGUUGGUGAGGUAACGGCUCACCAAGACCGCGAUCGGUAGCCGGACUGAGAGGUUGAACGGCCACAUUGGGACUGAGACACGGCCCAG
Molecule: ribosomal RNA, 326 nt
Filed under: uncultured bacterium
Lineage: Bacteria
Description: bacterial SSU rRNA
Rfam family: Bacterial small subunit ribosomal RNA
Source: RNAcentral